CUACGACAUGUUGAUUUAGUUUAUUUUUUAAGCCAAGUUAAAUAAACAAGUCGUAUGC
This 58-nucleotide microRNA precursor is filed under the name Drosophila ananassae. RNAcentral's name for it is "Dan-Novel-14_pre stem-loop". The record is from RNAcentral. Lineage: Eukaryota; Metazoa; Arthropoda; Insecta; Diptera; Drosophilidae.